Fusarium tricinctum is the source of this 90-nucleotide non-coding RNA. Lineage: Eukaryota; Fungi; Ascomycota; Sordariomycetes; Hypocreales; Nectriaceae. The record is from the annotation of a GenBank genome assembly.
GGCCGCGUGGCCUAAUGGCUAAGGCGCUAGAUUUCGGUUCACCGUCAUCCCAUUCUCUAGAGAUUCCAGGUUCGACUCCUGGCGUGGUCG